GGGGUUGGAAAUCAUCAAGUUAAGUCGUGGUACCUGAAAUGAUCUCAUUAAUACUAGUGUAAGGGCCGAACUUAUACUUCCUUGUGUCUAUGAGUUAUGGCAUUCCUUCUUAAGUGAUGAUGAUACUGCCACAGUAGGGGAGAAGUGUGUCAUUUGAUGCCCUGCUGAAACAUUUAUCACCCAGUGCCAAAGCUUAAUCAAUCAUUUAUAGAAACAUAAACUUGCACAAUGCAGAAACUCACCAUUGAGCCAGACAUGUCCUCCCUUAGUGUUAAAAAGUUAAGAAGCCAAGGUAACUAUAGUCUUCGUGAUGACCUGGCUUAUCAAUCUCUUGUUGCCUGGGUACUAGUGAGCCACUAAUUUCAAUGAGUUUUCCACUCCCCCUGUUGGAAAUGGAAUCCAUCAAACCAUGAUGACAGCUUCUCCUUGCCUGAUGAACAGCAGGUAGUUUCAUGAAGAUAUGUUCAAAUAUGAGAUAUAAUUUUUGUUUCAUUAACAAAAACCUUCUUACUGCUGCUCCAUUAAAAUAAUUAGUAAACUGACCAAGCUGUGGAUCAUGUCUAAUGCUGUUCUUUAUUGUCUCCCAAAACAAAUCUAUGGAAGAAAUGAUCCAUCUCCGAGUACUUAGAGAAUCUCACUCCAUGAUGAACCAUCUGACUGAUGUCAGAGGUCACAGUCAAUGACAAUAAAUUAAUCCUUCCCACAUCAUAGGGUAAAUACAGUUAACGGUUAGCUCCCUGGGGUGCAUGCCUUUUUUGGGAUAAAUAAUAGCUCCAUCCAGGACACAGAGGACCCUCAGUGAUCACACCAUUGCUUAAAUGAAAUGAAAUGCUUGGUAGAGUUGAAUGUCAUCACAAUUUGACCAGUGGGCUUAACUGAGUGUUUAGUCAAAUAUGAUUGCACUUUCCUUUUAUUCAUGUUAUCACUGGCUGAAUUUCCCAUGGGUAGUCCCAAAUAGACAGAGGCAUUUUCUUCUGUUAUACCAGAAAAAGAUUUGUCUCAGAUACAAAAUUGCAUGCAAUUGUUCCUUAUUUUUAGAGAAUAUAUUUGGAAGGACUGCUGCAGGUGAUGUUAAUGUAUCUAAGUCUGUGGCUCUGCUGAGGACAUUGUACCAGGAAACAGCUCUUCCAAAAUAGAUGGGGAUGAGUGGAACAUGAUGAAGGUACAGCCAAGAUGGUGGAGUAAACAUCAGACCACGGCCAGGGACACAGGCACUCCCGGCAUUUGAUGCCUAGAGAGGGACCUGAAAGGAAGGCUUCCCCCGGCAGAGUGGCCCUGGACAGGGUGGGCUGUUUAGCCAACAGCCCUAGAAAAGGCGCUCCAGUCGUCAAGAGAAGAUGGCUAACAAGAACAUGCAGGAGAACUGGUCUGGGUCCCCAAGAGGAACAUUAGCUCCUGUCAGCAUACAGACCAGAGGAAUAGAGACCCUAAGCAUCAAAGGAAAAGCUGGUCGGAGAGACAAACGGAGGAGGAAGGCAAGACCGAGAAGAUGAAGAGCCAAUAAUAAGAUCCUGACUGCCCUUUUUGCAAUGCUGACUGUUGCAGAUGGCUCCGGGACAGAGUCAUAAUUACAUUGGAUUUAUGUCUUACCCCACUUGGGUUAAACCUGUAACUUGACCACUAUACUUUUGUCUGUGUAACUCCCUAUUUGCUUUCUAAUACUACCAAUGUAACUCCUGAUCAAAUAUUGAAUAAGCUUCAGGGCACUUGGCAUUCCAAAAACAUAACAUGGAUGGUAUUGAUCCU
Non-coding RNA from Phascolarctos cinereus (koala), 1746 nucleotides. Lineage: Eukaryota; Metazoa; Chordata; Mammalia; Diprotodontia; Phascolarctidae. The record is from RefSeq and is a predicted model, not a curated record.